Corylus avellana is the source of this 240-nucleotide non-coding RNA. Lineage: Eukaryota; Viridiplantae; Streptophyta; Magnoliopsida; Fagales; Betulaceae. The record is from RefSeq and is a predicted model, not a curated record.
UCCGGCGUCACUUUUCCGGCUAGGUUUCCGUCGAUUCACAAUAUUUUGAAUCGGAAAAAUCUGGUUUCGACGAAGGUUCAUAUUAUAAGAUGAACAGGAGGAAGAAAGAUUUCGGGAUAGGAGACAAUGAAAGCGAAUUCUACGAUGGGAAGAUGAAAAAGAAUGAGCAGUCAAUGUCGUCGGCAUCUAUAACAUCAUCGGUGAAAGAGGAUAUGGAACCUGUGCAGUGUAGGUGCGGAC